This 343-nucleotide unclassified non-coding RNA is filed under the name soil metagenome. RNAcentral describes it as "partial contains 5.8S ribosomal RNA, internal transcribed spacer 2, and large subunit ribosomal RNA". The stretch from base 1 to 120 matches the Rfam family "5.8S ribosomal RNA", at positions 35 to 154 of the family's 154-position model. The record is from RNAcentral.
GAUGAAGAACGUAGCGAAAUGCGAUAAGUAAUGUGAAUUGCAGAAUCCAGUGAAUCAUCGAAUCUUUGAACGCACAUUGCGCCCGCCAGCAUUCUGGCGGGCAUGCCUGUUCGAGCGUCAUUUCAACCCUCGACCUCCCUUUGGGGAAGUCGGCGUUGGGGACCGGCAGCACACCGCCGGCCCUGAAAUGGAGUGGCGGCCCGUCCGCGGCGACCUCUGCGUAGUAAACCAACUCGCACCGGAACCCCGACGUGGCCACGCCGUAAAACACCCAACUUCUGAACGUUGACCUCGUAUCAGGUAGGACUACCCGCUGAACUUAAGCAUAUCAAUAAGCGGAGGA